AUAUUUACCUGGCAGGGGAGAUACCAUGAUCACGAAGGUAGUUUUCCCAGGGUGAGGCUUAUCCAUUGCACUCCGGAUGUGCUGACCCCUGCGAUUUCCCCAAAUGUGGGAAACUCGACUGCAUAAUUUGUGGUAGUGGGGGACUGCAUUCGCGCUUUCCCCUG
This 164-nucleotide small nuclear RNA is filed under the name Macaca nemestrina (pig-tailed macaque). Its description in RNAcentral is "U1 spliceosomal RNA (ENSMNEG00000021994.1)". It matches the Rfam family "U1 spliceosomal RNA". From Rfam's summary of the family: U1 is a small nuclear RNA (snRNA) component of the spliceosome (involved in pre-mRNA splicing). Its 5' end forms complementary base pairs with the 5' splice junction, thus defining the 5' donor site of an intron. The record is from Rfam by way of RNAcentral. Lineage: Eukaryota; Metazoa; Chordata; Mammalia; Primates; Cercopithecidae.